This 467-nucleotide ribosomal RNA is filed under the name uncultured bacterium. Its description in RNAcentral is "partial 16S ribosomal RNA". It matches the Rfam family "Bacterial small subunit ribosomal RNA", at positions 29 to 507 of the family's 1533-position model. The record is from RNAcentral.
ACGAACGCUGGCGGCGUGCUUAACACAUGCAAGUCGAACGGAAAGGCCCUGCUUUUGUGGGGUGCUCGAGUGGCGAACGGGUGAGUAACACGUGAGUAACCUGCCCUUGACUUUGGGAUAACUUCAGGAAACUGGGGCUAAUACCGGAUAGGAGCUCCUGCUGCAUGGUGGGGGUUGGAAAGUUUCGGCGGUUGGGGAUGGACUCGCGGCUUAUCAGCUUGUUGGUGGGGUAGUGGCUUACCAAGGCUUUGACGGGUAGCCGGCCUGAGAGGGUGACCGGCCACAUGGGGACUGAGAUACGGCCCAGACUCCUACGGGAGGCAGCGGUGGAGAGUAUUGCACAGUGGGCGGAAGCCUGAUGCAGCAACGCCGCGUGCGGGAUGACGGCCUUCGGGUUAUAAACCGCUUUCGCCUGUGACGAAGCGUGAGUGACGGUAAUGGGUAAAGAAGCACCGGCUAACUACGUG